AUCCAGCUGACGAGUCUUAAAUAGAACUAAACGCGCGCCCUAGAU
Schistosoma curassoni is the source of this 45-nucleotide non-coding RNA. The record is from Rfam. NCBI's taxonomy places the organism in Eukaryota, Metazoa, Platyhelminthes, Trematoda, Strigeidida, Schistosomatidae.